This is a long non-coding RNA of Mastomys coucha (southern multimammate mouse), 677 nucleotides long. RefSeq lists it as uncharacterized. The transcript has 3 exons. Lineage: Eukaryota; Metazoa; Chordata; Mammalia; Rodentia; Muridae. The record is from RefSeq and is a predicted model, not a curated record.
UAGCGGUGUGUUGGUGUGCAGUUUUUGCUGACAGAGGCCUGUAGACUUCGCCUUUUCAGAGUCCACCGCCUGGUUGGGAAGCUUUUUGAUCGUGUGUGAGGUGUAGAUGAAGGUGCCCUCUCUACCCAUCUCCUAGCUGUGCGCACGCUAGCUAAGUAACCCCCAACUUAUGUUCGCAGAGACAAGCUUACCAGGUGGGGAUCCUAUUAAACUUCCACAGCCAUGGUUGGCACAGUGGCAGAGACCUGAGCCACCCUACCUGCUUUCGAACAAAAAACAAAGACUUUUAGGGGUUGGAGAGAUAGUUCAGCUUUAAGAGCUCGAUUCCCAGCACCCCUAUGCAGACAGCUUAUAGCUGUCUCAUAAGUUCAGUUCAAGAGGAUCUGACAGUUUUUGGAUUCUGUGGCCACCAGAGUCAUUGGGAAAGAUAAACAGUCAUGGAAGUUUCACACCCACAGUGACAUGAGGAAAGCUGGCGACGGGGCUAAGAGGCAAGCAUUUGUCAGUUACCAGCACUGUGAUCUGAAACAGGCAUUCUGCAUAACCGGCUAGGGUUUCCUAGUCUGUAAAAUGGGGCUUCGUCUGGCUCAGAUUUCAUGGAAUUCCUAAAAAGGGGCUGGAGAAGUGGCUCAGAAGAAAGCACUGUCUGGUCUUGCCUAGAACCUAGGUUCGAUGCC